AAUUGCAAGAGAAAGCAGCUGCAAAAGCCUCUCUACGAGCUCAAAAGGAAGCAGAAAAGAAACUGAAGGACCGCGAAAAGAAAGCAAAGAAGAAGGCAACGGCAUCUGGAUCUGCCGCAGUUCCUGAUGAAGAACCUACUGAUGCUGAAGCUGAUGCAGUUGAGGAGGAAUCUACAGAGGUUGAAAAGGUUAAUGAAAGCACUGAAGCUCCGGUUCCAGUUAGGACUAAAACCCCGAAGGAGACUGGCGUUAGAAGCCGUGGCAGGCAAAGAGGGCUGGAUUCCGUUCCGAAAGUGAUUCGGAAGCGCAAGAAGUCAAUCAAUUAUUUGGAAUGGGCUGGCCCUGCUGCUGCUGUUGCUGCAAUGUUACUUGUGAUCCUUCUGGUACUUGGGUACUACUACCUUAUCUAAAAACUGUGAAACUAGGAGUUAGAAGAGGUUUAUGGAUGGGACAAAUUUUCUGUUGACGAGCAUGCUGAUGAUGAGUGGCUUUAGAGUAUCAGAUGUAUUUUUAAUUAUGUUUAUUUCUGUUUAUUUCAUCCUUACUAGGGAUGGACUCAACUCAUAAUGGUUGGCAUUUUAGUCAGG
Molecule: unclassified non-coding RNA, 587 nt
Filed under: Hevea brasiliensis (rubber tree)
Lineage: Eukaryota; Viridiplantae; Streptophyta; Magnoliopsida; Malpighiales; Euphorbiaceae
Source: RNAcentral